This is a long non-coding RNA of Chenopodium quinoa (quinoa), 1351 nucleotides long. RefSeq lists it as uncharacterized. The transcript is spliced from 4 exons. The record is from RefSeq and is a predicted model, not a curated record. Lineage: Eukaryota; Viridiplantae; Streptophyta; Magnoliopsida; Caryophyllales; Amaranthaceae.
UCGUAGCUUACAAAAAAUGUCACUUAUAAAUAUUAAGUUAGUACUAUCUUAUAUCAAAAAAAAAAAGUUAGUACUUCCUAAUAAUUUUAUUUAAUUUUUAUUGAAGUUAGAAGAAAUAAAUUUUUUUUUAAACAAACAAAAGACUUAAACAAUAUCCCACCACUAGAGUCCUCCUAGAUCCCUAACCUCUCGCUUUUGAGUAUAAUCAAAUUUCCCCAAUUUGUGUGCUCGAUUCAUCAAUCUUUAAUUCAAUUUGUGAGUUUCAAUCAAUCCAAAUGUCAAUCUCAACUCGUACUAAAGAACCCUAAUCAUUAAAACAGUUACCCUUUUCGUUGGAUCUUUGUUUUUAAUUACUUCCUUCUACAGUUCAAUUCGUGAGUUUCAAACAAUCUUGUCAGUCCAUACGAUUUGCUAGAAUAUUCAUCUGGCACGAAACAAUGCUCGUAUUCUAAUAUCAGGCUCACUUAAACUUUUCAGUGACCGGUAAACUUGUUUGCCUCUUUAACAUAUUGUUCUUAUAGCUAUUGAAGGGCUGUAUUGUUUUUUGUUGAUUACAAAAAUUCAGUUUCUUUGUUCAGAUUUUUUAGAUCAAGCUAAGAGUGCAAAAGGCUGGUAGCUCUACUAGAUUUGACAAAUCCGGCAAUGAGCAGUUUGUGACUGAAUUUAGCAAAUGGAUUUUCCAUAAGUUACUCAUCUUCUCCCUCUAAACAGAAGAAAGAGAAAUAAGACCCAGGUUCUCCAUUCAACAAUGGCGGAAGGUACCAUUUUCAUCACCAUAUUUUCUUCAACAAUGAAGUCGUCAAUUGCAAUAAUGAUCCUUCUUCUUCUUCCUCUUUCCUCCUCCAUUGAAGCUCACAUAAAAGGCGACACCAUUAAAGACGGUGACAUUAAAGAUGACGCCAUUCGGCGCCGAUAUAAACGAAAAACCCUACAAAUAAGGGUGAAAUUAAGGGCAUGGUCAACCCCAAAGGGUAGGAUGACCAUGUCCUCCAUUAAAGCUAAAAUUGGGUUUGAAGAUUGAAUUUCUCCAUUAUAAUUUUCUGAAUUUUUUCCAUUAUACAUACACCAAAUUGGAAGAAAAAUCGACUUACAAACUCACUAGCGUUUAGUCGACUCGCCGACUUUCUCUAGUGAAGAAGAUGAAUUUGCUUGUAAAUUUUGACUCACGACAAGGCUAACGCUGUUAGUUGAAUUUGCCUAACAAAAAUAUUAAAUGGCAAAAUUGUCCCUACUAUUCAUGAGUAAAUAGUCCAAUAUACCCUUUGAUAAACAACUCAUGUUUAUCAUAUUGAUAAAGUUGAAUUUUCUCAUAAUUAAUUGGGUUUAUAUAAAAAGAAUGUGGAUUAAAGGA